ACAUGCAAGUCGAGCGGGGAAAAGUAGCUUGCUACUUAACUUAGCGGCGGACGGGUGAGUAAUACUUAGGAAUCUACCUAAUAGUGGGGGACAACAUUUCGAAAGGGAUGCUAAUACCGCAUACGCCCUACGGGGGAAAGCAGGGGAUCUUCGGACCUUGCGCUAAUAGAUGAGCCUAAGUCGGAUUAGCUAGUUGGUGGGGUAAAGGCCUACCAAGGCGACGAUCUGUAGCGGGUCUGAGAGGAUGAUCCGCCACACUGGGACUGAGACACGGCCCAGACUCCUACGGGAGGCAGCAGUGGGGAAUAUUGGACAAUGGGGGGAACCCUGAUCCAGCCAUGCCGCGUGUGUGAAGAAGGCCUUUUGGUUGUAAAGCACUUUAAGCGAGGAGGAGGCUCCCAGUAUUAAUACUACUGGAGAGUGGACGUUACUCGCAGAAUAAGCACCGGCUAACUCUGUGCCAGCAGCCGCGGUAAUACAGAGGGUGCAAGCGUUAAUCGGAUUUACUGGGCGUAAAGCGUGCGUAGGUGGCCAAUUAAGUCAGAUGUGAAAUCCCCGAGCUUAACUUGGGAAUUGCAUUCGAUACUGGUUGGCUAGAGUAUGGGAGAGGAUGGUAGAAUUCCAGGUGUAGCGGUGAAAUGCGUAGAGAUCUGGAGGAAUACCGAUGGCGAAGGCAGCCAUCUGGCCUAAUACUGACACUGAGGUACGAAAGCAUGGGGAGCAAACAGGAUUAGAUACCCUGGUAGUCCAUGCCGUAAACGAUGUCUACUAGCCGUUGGGGUCUUUGAGACUUUA
RNAcentral lists this ribosomal RNA (795 nucleotides) under uncultured bacterium. RNAcentral describes it as "bacterial SSU rRNA". It matches the Rfam family "Bacterial small subunit ribosomal RNA", at positions 53 to 842 of the family's 1533-position model. The record is from RNAcentral.